Molecule: ribosomal RNA, 40 nt
Filed under: Inocybe fraudans
Lineage: Eukaryota; Fungi; Basidiomycota; Agaricomycetes; Agaricales; Inocybaceae
Description: partial 18S ribosomal RNA
Source: RNAcentral
CGUACCAGGUUUCCGUAGGUGACAUGCGGAAGGAUCAUUA